This 281-nucleotide unclassified non-coding RNA is filed under the name Hevea brasiliensis (rubber tree). Lineage: Eukaryota; Viridiplantae; Streptophyta; Magnoliopsida; Malpighiales; Euphorbiaceae. The record is from RNAcentral.
GAAAAUUGCUUUUUUCAUGCUUCCUCGAGUCAUGUGUCAACUUCGAGCAACAUAACCUGCAGAUCCGAAGAUAUUUUUCCAGCGGAUCAAAUUCCCAUCUUGUUUCAGGAGUAUCUUUCUACCAUGAGGUUAGGCGAAGUCAAUACUAAAUCCUUUUUCCAACGGUUUCCUUCUUUAAUUAGGCACUUCCAAACAGCGACAAUGAGCACCCUUCUUUCGGAUUAUGAAGGUCAUCAAGCUACUGAUAAGAAGAAGAAAGGGUUAGUUAAUGCUGAAUCAGC